Pteronotus mesoamericanus is the source of this 1144-nucleotide long non-coding RNA. RefSeq lists it as uncharacterized. The record is from RefSeq and is a predicted model, not a curated record. Lineage: Eukaryota; Metazoa; Chordata; Mammalia; Chiroptera; Mormoopidae. The transcript is spliced from 3 exons.
UUUCCGCCGCACUCCCGCGGCCGGUGAGUUGUCGCCUUCUGCUGCUGCUCCUCCCUCUGGCCAAACAGGGGUUAGGAGAAAUGCUGGGCCUCCGCCCCUUCGGCGGGCCGGGCGGGCACAGCACGUGCCGGCCUCGGGGGUCGGGCGGACGCGGGGAAAGCGCUGCGGAUGGAGGCCCAGGAGCCCGGGAGGCGGCGGAUACAAAGGAGCGGCCCAGGCGGGACGCCGCGGAAUAUAAAUGAAUAAAUACAACGCCCAAGCCGAAAAGCUCCUGAUCGCCAAUCCGCCUGCAGCAAGUUUGUUCAACUCGAAAGGCUGUAACCAGAGCCAGGGAAAGGGGGGUGGGGCGGUGAGGCCCCCGCGCCCUAAAGACUGGAAAAAAGAGGUUCAGCCUUUUAGGAGAGAAUAAUAUCUAUCUACGUGAUGGAAUUAGCCGUGAAGAUCACCCAAUAGCCACAUUCAAUACAAAGCUACUUUCUAAAUAUGGUUCUUAACCCAGAACUUCAAAGGAAUAUGAUAACCUGCUGAACAGGUGAUGUUUUGGGAAAAGCCAGAAGUCACAGAGUGCCAAUCUGGGCUGCAGGGGGGCUGAGUCACCUGGGUGAUUUGGUGUUAAAUUUCAAAACUCUGCAUGAGACAUGAUGCAUGAUGUAUGAGCAGGCUCAUUGUCAUGAUGAAGCUGCCAAUCACCAGUUGCCCAUAGCUGCAGCUUUCUCAAUCCUCAGAACAAUGUCUAUGGAGGAAUGUUCAAGCUAACACAAAAUUUGAUGUAGAUUUGUUGCUCUACUUGCUCAGUCAUUUUGAAUGUGAGGACUGCACAGUACACCUGCUCACUCAAUGACAUCUACCACCCCCACUGACAAGUACAGUGAAGUCGUCAGUGUUCACAUAUGCACAUUCCAGUCCACUCUCCUUGACUGCCAGGUUAUAUCAAUGUUGCGCAAACUGUUCUUGUUAUAUUAACAAUGAGUGGUUGGACCUUUUUCUGAACAGACCCCGUAUAUCAAACAAACUAAGUAUUGUUGAAAGUUUUGUUGAUGUACUCAGAGUUCCUGCUUAGGUGAGAUUAAGAAAGGGAGAAAUUGCCCUCUUUUCUAUUUACUAAAAGAAAUAUUAGAAUUUUAAAAAGUAUUUAAAUGAUUAA